Molecule: long non-coding RNA, 3566 nt
Organism: Mercenaria mercenaria
Lineage: Eukaryota; Metazoa; Mollusca; Bivalvia; Venerida; Veneridae
Exons: 7
Source: RefSeq, a predicted model, not a curated record
CUGUCAUGCUCUAAAGGCAUAAUCCCCUUAUUUGUAAUCAUUUUUUGACAAAAAAAAUUUUUCCAAAAAGUCUCCCUUAAAAAAAAUCAAAAAAAAAAAAUUCCGACCUACCCACCCUAAUUUUGUUUAGUAUGUUACCGGAAACAAAGAUUUUUUUUAGGCCUAAUGAUAUGUUUAGGUAUUCAACAUCUUUGAGAACAUUUCAAACAUUAAAUUUAGAAUUAUGUUAUUCGAAAUGGGGAGGGAAUUUGUCAGAAAUUGUUUAAGGUAUUCAGUUAAAUUAAAUUAAAUUAAUUCAAAAUUUGUAAAAAGAUAUUUGUUAGGGCAAUUACAACGACAAGAGUUUCCCAAAUAGUGUAGUGUAUUCUUUCAAUUGUUACAUAUAAAUUCACAGCUUAAGUUACUGAAAUCUAAAAAAAUUAAAACACACUUUUUUUCCCCCCAGUUUUUAUCAAUAAAUGACAAUUUUCAGCUGUAUGUGAUUUUUCUCUGCAAAUCAUGAGAAAAUAUACAACAUCUCUUAAUUUUCCAUCCCAUGAAAGUAUAACACUAUAUUACAAUAGAAAACAUGGAAAAAAAUGAUACCUAUCAUGCAAACCAUUAUUCUGCAGACAAACCGAAUUUUAAGUAUGAAUUAAAUAGUAAUGAAACAGUUAUACUCUAGGUAAUAUUGGUAUGAUGAAAAAUGAAUAUUUUUGAAUAAAAUUACCAUUAUUGAUUGUAGAUCUAUAGAACUUUUAAAGUAGCCGUAAAUAUAUUUAUUUACUUACCUUUUCCUGUGGAAAAUAAGCAAGACACAGAAGGUCGAACAAAUCAGCAAAACAAGCACACGUCUGAUCUCCAUGAUGAUUUCUAAGUUAAAUGAUUAUUAAUUAAUUAGCGGCGCCUAAUUGCCAAUAACUGGUCCUUCAAUAUACGAUUCGUCACCCGUGUCGGUGGACAAUAUCAAGGUCACAUUUGAUGUUUCGGCGAUACUUCCUGUCAUAAAGCGCGUGCCGACAAGCAGCGCGUGCCACCCGCUGUGACGUUCAAAUUCAGCAUCAUGGACGGUUUCAUUCCAUUUUAAAAAUAGGAUGGCUUGGUGAUUCUUUCCUGCGAGUGUUAGAUCUUGGGUCCAAGGACUGGAGAAAUCCAUGAUAGUGACAGGUUUAAAGAAGGACCGGCCAAACAUUUGCUUACGGUUACCUUCAUAUAAGGAAAAGACAAGUGUGUGGAUGCCAGAAAUUUCAGAGCCAAAGAUGAGUUCAAUGAAUCGUUCCUUCCCCUAGAGACAAGGGCAGCCUUUAUUGAGAAGUUUGAAGAGAAAGUGACAGAAUUGGCGAACAAUAGCAACAACACUAACAGUGAAUCUGGGUCCUCAGCAGCCGGUGACACAGCGACCACUCGAGAAUGAAAGUGAGCCCUUGGUGGAUGAAAAUGAACAACCAAGCAAGAAAGUAAAGUUCUCUGUUGGUGAAAAAGUUUGGGCGCUGUACAAGGAUGGACAUUCCUACAAGGCCAGGAUUAUCAGGAUUAACAAAAAUUCCUACAGAGUGAAGUAUAUUGAAGAUGGAGUUGUCCAUGAUGUUGAUGGUGAAGGACUUCUAACUUGUGGUUGAGCUAUAUGCCAGAUUAUAUGAUCAGAUCCAACUAUAUGUUCCAGAGUUACGGCUCUGAAUUACCAGAAAGUGCUAAUUUUCAUCUUGUGAACACAUUAGAGAUGUCAUUUAGUGUUAGAUCUUAAUCAAACUUGCACUUCAUUUGUAUCAAUCUAAGAUCUAUGUUCCUUACGAGAACCAGUCAGAUUCCAUAUUACAAAAAACUAUGAACUGAUUUUAUGUCAAAUUAACUCCCUCUGUUUCAAAUUAAAAUAGGUAUGUCCCAGUAACUAAUGAAGAUACUGAUUUGAAAUUUCAUUUAUGCCAUUAGAUGGACUAAAACAAUCAGGGUAGAUAACUAGUUACAAAUAACCUCACUUUAUUUUUAUGUUUUAUAUAUAUUGCAUGACCAUCUUGUUUUUCUGUGCUAGCAUCGUUAAUACUUUGUAAUACCAUUUUGUAAUUUCAUCCAGGUUCUCAUCCAGGCAUAGUUUUAUUUGAUUUUUGAACUGGUUGUGACUUCGGGUAGAUAGUUAUUGACGGGGACAGUCUGUCGCGUCCAUUACCUCCCUUUGUUUCGAAUUAAAAUAGGUAUAUCUCAGUAAGUAAUAAAGAUGUUUUUUGAAAUUUGAUUUAUGCCCUGGGAUGGACUCAGACAAUCAGGGUACAUAACUAUGGACUAAUUUUAUGUCAAAUUACCCCCCUUUGUUUCAAAUUAAAAUGGAUAUAUCUCAGUAACUAAUGAAGAUACUGAUGUGAAAAUUCAUUAAUGAUGUUAGAUGGGCUCAGACAAUCAGGAAAGAUAACUGUUGACAAAUGACCUACCUUUAUUUUUAUAUUGCAUGGCCCUCUUGUUUACUGACCUAGCAUCAUAACUACUUGGUAAUACCAUUUUAUGACUUUAUCAAGUUCAUGAAAUUCAUUCAUUUGAUUUGGGUUUUAAUAUAAAGAUGAACAGGAUUUAAACUAUAUGCAUUUAUCCUGUCCUGUAUUGUCAUUUUAUUAAAGAUAUGAUAUAAUUGGUAUCAUGCUCUUGGUUUAAUUAUUGAACUGAUCAGUCACGUGUUUCAGAGUUGUGGCCCCUGAAAGUUUUAAUAUCCCCCGCCAAUCAAAAUCGGGAGAUGGGUAUUGAAGCAUUGUUCAUCCGUCAGUCCGUCCGUCCGCAGCCAUUUCUCAGUAACUAGAAUGUAGAAGUUCAUGAAACUUAAAAUAAACAUGAACCAACAUACUGCGAUGAUGCCCGUCAAUUUUUUUUUUGGAUUCGUCAAUUUCCCUUAGAGUUAUUGCCCUUGAUUUAAUGAAAAAUACCCAAAAAUGUCCGUCCGCAGCCAUUUCUCAGUAACUAUCAGUUAGAAUUUUAUAAAACCUGAAAUAAACAUACUGCAAUGUUUAUCGGAUUGGUCAAUUCCUUUAGCGUUUUUGCCCUUGAUUUAAUGAAAAUUGCACGUCUGCAGCCAUUUCUCAGUAACAAGCUGGUAGAAUUUCAUGAAACUAGAAAUAAAUACGAACCAACAUACUUCGAUGAUGCCUGUCUUUUUUUUUUCAAUUGGUCAAUUUUCCUUAGAGUUAUUGCCCUUUAAUUGAAUGUUUAAAAAUCUACAGAGUUGUACAUAACAAACUAACCCAUUGGUAGAAUUUCAUUAAACUUCUUUCAUUCUUUUCCAUGAACAUUUAGUAUAAACAUCUGAAAUUUUGUACCCACACCUGGUCACCACCUUGCCUUACCACAUCACAUCCCCUGCCCCUGCCCCUCCCCUCCACCCUCCAAUAAAAAAAAUGUUUUUAUAUAUUAAUUUCAAACGUUCCAUGAAUAUUUAUUAGCAUGCAAAGUUGUACCGUUCCCCAACCUCUCUCUCGCUCUCCACUUAGUCUUGCCCACCACCCCGAUAAUGCAUCAACAUCCCCCACCCUUUUUUUUUACCUUUUUAAUUUUCAAUAUUGAUAAUCAACACGUGAAAUUUUGUACCCUAUCCUCCCCCACCAGACCCC